UACGGGGAGAGCAAGCGUUGUUCGGAUUACUGGGCGUAAAGGGCGCGUAGGCGGUCGUGACAAGUCACUUGUGAAAUCUCCGGGCUUAACUCGGAACGGUCAAGUGAUACUGUCGGACUAGAGUACAGAAGGGGCAACUGGAAUUCUCGGUGUAGCGGUGAAAUGCGUAGAUAUCGAGAGGAACACCGUGCGGCGAAGGCGGGUUGCUGGGCUGAUACUGA
Molecule: ribosomal RNA, 221 nt
Filed under: uncultured bacterium
Lineage: Bacteria
Description: partial 16S ribosomal RNA
Rfam family: Bacterial small subunit ribosomal RNA
Source: RNAcentral